GGGAUUGCCCCAGUAACGGCGAGUGAAGCGGCAAGAGCUCAAAUUUGAAAUCUGGCCCCUCCGGGGUCCGAGUUGUAAUUUGCAGAGGAUGCUUCGGGUGCGGCCCCUGUCUAAGUGCCCUGGAACGGGCCGUCAGAGAGGGUGAGAAUCCCGUCUUGGGCAGGGUGCCCGUGCCCGUGUGAAGCUCCUUCGACGAGUCGAGUUGUUUGGGAAUGCAGCUCUAAAUGGGUGGUAAAUUUCAUCUAAAGCUAAAUACCGGCCGGAGACCGAUAGCGCACAAGUAGAGUGAUCGAAAGAUGAAAAGCACUUUGAAAAGAGAGUUAAACAGCACGUGAAAUUGUUGAAAGGGAAGCGCUUGCGACCAGACUCGGCCUCGGGGUUCAGCCAGCAUUCGUGCUGGUGUACUUCCCCGGGGCCGGGCCAGCGUCGGUUCGGGCGGCCGGUCAAAGGCCCCAGGAAUGUAUCGUCCUCCGGGACGUCUUAUAGCCUGGGGUGCAAUGCGGCCAGCCUGGACCGAGGAACGCGCUUCGGCACGGACGCUGGCGUAAUGGUCACAAACGACCCGUCUUGAAACACGGACCAAGGAGUCUAACAUCUACGCGAGUGUUCGGGUGUCAAACCCGUACGCGCAGUGAAAGCGAACGGAGGUGGGAGCCCCUUUUGGGGCGCACCAUCGACCGAUCCUGAAGUCUUCGGAUGGAUUUGAGUACGAGCGUAGCUGUGGGGACCCGAAAGAUGGUGAACUAUGCCUGAAUAGGGUGAAGCCAGAGGAAACUCUGGUGGAGGCUCGCAGCGGUUCUGACGUGCAAAUCGAUCGUCAAAUUUGGGUAUAGGGGCGAAAGACUAAUCGANCCAUCGU
This 859-nucleotide ribosomal RNA is filed under the name Aspergillus protuberus. RNAcentral's name for it is "eukaryotic LSU rRNA". It matches the Rfam family "Eukaryotic large subunit ribosomal RNA", at positions 71 to 946 of the family's 3401-position model. Lineage: Eukaryota; Fungi; Ascomycota; Eurotiomycetes; Eurotiales; Aspergillaceae. The record is from RNAcentral.